Molecule: transfer RNA, 28 nt
Filed under: Pseudogobius sp. C 'spotted'
Lineage: Eukaryota; Metazoa; Chordata; Actinopteri; Gobiiformes; Gobiidae
Description: partial tRNA-Leu
Source: RNAcentral
GCUUUGAAAGGAUAAUAGCUCAUCCAUU